RNAcentral lists this ribosomal RNA (429 nucleotides) under Verrucomicrobiota bacterium. RNAcentral describes it as "Verrucomicrobia bacterium partial 16S ribosomal RNA". It matches the Rfam family "Bacterial small subunit ribosomal RNA", at positions 355 to 776 of the family's 1533-position model. Lineage: Bacteria; Pseudomonadati; Verrucomicrobiota. The record is from RNAcentral.
UAGGGAAUCUUCCGCAAUGAACGAAAGUCUGACGGAGCAACGCCGCGUGAGUGAAGAAGGAUUUCGGUUCGUAAAACUCUGUUGUUAGGGAAGAAAAAAUGUAUAGUAACUAUAUACAAAAGAGACGGUACCUAACCAGAAAGCCACGGCUAACUACGUGCCAGCAGCCGCGGUAAUACGUAGGUGGCAAGCGUUGUCCGGAAUUAUUGGGCGUAAAGCGCGCGCAGGUGGUUUAGAAAGUCUGAUGUGAAAGCCCACGGCUCAACCGUGGAGGGUCAUUGGAAACUAAUAAACUUGAGUGCAGGAGAGAAAAGUGGAAUUCCUAGUGUAGCGGUGAAAUGCGUAGAGAUUAGGAGGAACACCGGUGGCGAAAGCGGCUUUUUGGCCUGCAACUGACACUGAGGCGCGAAAGCGUGGGGAGCAAACAGG